Molecule: ribosomal RNA, 429 nt
Filed under: Chloroflexota bacterium
Lineage: Bacteria; Bacillati; Chloroflexota
Description: Chloroflexi bacterium partial 16S ribosomal RNA
Rfam family: Bacterial small subunit ribosomal RNA
Source: RNAcentral
UGGGGAAUAUUGCACAAUGGGCGCAAGCCUGAUGCAGCCAUGCCGCGUGUGUGAAGAAGGCCUUCGGGUUGUAAAGCACUUUCAGCGGGGAGGAAGGCGGUGAGGUUAAUAACCUCAUCGAUUGACGUUACCCGCAGAAGAAGCACCGGCUAACUCCGUGCCAGCAGCCGCGGUAAUACGGAGGGUGCAAGCGUUAAUCGGAAUUACUGGGCGUAAAGCGCACGCAGGCGGUCUGUCAAGUCGGAUGUGAAAUCCCCGGGCUCAACCUGGGAACUGCAUUCGAAACUGGCAGGCUAGAGUCUUGUAGAGGGGGGUAGAAUUCCAGGUGUAGCGGUGAAAAGCGUAGAGAUCUGGAGGAAUACCGGUGGCGAAGGCGGCCCCCUGGACAAAGACUGACGCUCAGGUGCGAAAGCGUGGGGAGCAAACAGG